AGUUCCGGUAGGUAAGGCUACCACAAGGAUACGGACUGCUGCCGCGGAGUAGUGGAGACACUAUGAGAAGGUCAACAGGCUAUGUCGAAUCAAGGCAUAUCCCAAUGCAAUUUCAAGGCGACGUCCCUUUCGCCACGCCCUGUGAUGCUAAAGCUCGAACGGUGGAG
Molecule: small RNA, 167 nt
Filed under: human gut metagenome
Description: M-box riboswitch (ykoK leader)
Rfam family: M-box riboswitch aptamer (ykoK leader)
About the family: M-box riboswitch, also know as ykoK leader is described as a metaloregulatory RNA that sense divalent metals and function as a genetic control element of genes related to divalent metal transport in bacteria. It was first reported upstream of the B.subtilis ykoK gene and genes with related functions in other bacteria.
Source: RNAcentral